Molecule: ribosomal RNA, 373 nt
Filed under: uncultured bacterium
Lineage: Bacteria
Description: bacterial SSU rRNA
Rfam family: Bacterial small subunit ribosomal RNA
Source: RNAcentral
ACGGAGGGUGCGAGCGUUGUCCGGAAUCACUGGGCGUAAAGGGCGCGUAGGUGGCGCGGUAAGCGUGCGGUGAAAGCCCGGGGCUCAACUCCGGGUCUGCCGUGCGAACUGCCGGGCUUGAGCACGGUAGAGGCCAAUGGAAUUCCGGGUGUAGCGGUGGAAUGCGUAGAGAUCCGGAAGAACACCGGUGGCGAAGGCGGUUGGCUGGGCCGUUGCUGACACUGAGGCGCGACAGCGUGGGGAGCAAACAGGAUUAGAUACCCUGGUAGUCCACGCCGUAAACGAUGGGCACUAGGUGCUUGGGGGAGCGACCCCUUGAGUGCCGGCGCUAACGCAUGAAGUGCCCCGCCUGGGGAGUACGGCCGCAAGGCUG